UGUGGUUUAAUUCGAUGAUACGCGAGGAACCUUACCAAGGCUUAAAUGGGAAUUGACAGGCUUAGAAAUAGACUUUUCUUCGGACAAUUUUCAAGGUGCUGCAUGGUUGUCGUCAGCUCGUGCCGUGAGGUGUUAGGUUAAGUCCUGCAACGAGCGCAACCCCUGUCACUAGUUGCCAUCAUUAAGUUGGGGACUCUAGUGAGACUGCCUACGCAAGUAGAGAGGAAGGUGGGGAUGACGUCAAAUCAUCACGGCCCUUACGCCUUGGGCCACACACGUAAUACAAUGGCCAGUACAGAGGGCAGCUACCAGGCGACUGGAUGCGAAUCUCGAAAGCUGGUCUCAGUUCGGAUUGGAGUCUGCAACUCGACUCUAUGAAGCUGGAAUCGCUAGUAAUCGCAUAUCAGCCAUGAUGCGGUGAAUACGUUCCCGGGCCUUGUACACACCGCC
RNAcentral lists this ribosomal RNA (450 nucleotides) under uncultured Flavobacteriia bacterium. RNAcentral describes it as "bacterial SSU rRNA". It matches the Rfam family "Bacterial small subunit ribosomal RNA", at positions 940 to 1394 of the family's 1533-position model. The record is from RNAcentral. Lineage: Bacteria; Pseudomonadati; Bacteroidota; Flavobacteriia.